Dipodomys ordii (Ord's kangaroo rat) is the source of this 65-nucleotide non-coding RNA. NCBI's taxonomy places the organism in Eukaryota, Metazoa, Chordata, Mammalia, Rodentia, Heteromyidae. The record is from Rfam.
GGUGGCUCAGUGGUAGAGUGCUUGCCUUGCAUGCAUGAGGACCUGGGUUCGAUUCCUCAGCACCA